This 253-nucleotide ribosomal RNA is filed under the name uncultured bacterium. RNAcentral describes it as "partial 16S ribosomal RNA". It matches the Rfam family "Bacterial small subunit ribosomal RNA", at positions 524 to 776 of the family's 1533-position model. The record is from RNAcentral.
UACGUAGGGGGCAAGCGUUGUCCGGAUUCAUUGGGCGUAAAGAGCUCGUAGGCGGCUUGUCGCGUCGGAUGUGAAAGCCCGGGGCUUAACUCCGGGUCUGCAUUCGAUACGGGCAGGCUAGAGUUCGGUAGGGGAGAUCGGAAUUCCUGGUGUAGCGGUGGAAUGCGCAGAUAUCAGGAGGAACACCGGUGGCGAAGGCGGAUCUCUGGGCCGAUACUGACGCUGAGGAGCGAAAGCGUGGGGAGCGAACAGG